GGGGAUGCCAGGCAUAGACAGAUGGCCUAUUGUAUUGAUGCAUACCGAGCAUGAACAUAAUCUCGUAAAAAUUUGUUCAAUAGCUUAAUUGCAAAAUUAGCUUCCAAGGUGAAGGCAGCAGUCUCUCCAUACUUCGGUAUGAAUGACUUUGCUUUCGCUUCAGUUUCGGCUUACGCCUAACUGAUGUCUCUCUUAUAGACUUCCGAUAUAUAAGACGAGGCACAAUAUUGUCGGGAUAAGGGAAUGCCCGUUCGAACAUUUCACUAAAACCUAGAACUCGAUUAAAAAAUAUUUGGCUCGUUUAAGAAUUUUUUAAUUUAAUCCGCCGGCUGGCGGAAAAAAGCGAGCUAUGUAUGUAGACUUCAAUGCCCUAACCUUCUGCACACGAGUUCAAUUCUCGUCAUCUCCACUC
Molecule: transfer-messenger RNA, 412 nt
Filed under: Candidatus Nomurabacteria bacterium RIFCSPLOWO2_01_FULL_40_18
Lineage: Bacteria; Candidatus Nomuraibacteriota
Also listed under: 1 other name
Rfam family: transfer-messenger RNA
About the family: Bacterial tmRNA, also known as 10Sa RNA or SsrA, is named for its dual tRNA and mRNA-like properties. Its role is to liberate the mRNA from a stalled ribosome. To accomplish this part of the tmRNA is used as a reading frame that ends in a translation stop signal.
Source: RNAcentral